UACAGAGGUGGCAAGCGUUGUUCGGAUUUACUGGGCGUAAAGGGCGCGCAGGCGGCUCAUUUUGUCAGGCGUGAAAGCCCCGGGCUUAACCUGGGAACUGCGUUUGAUACGGAUGGGCUAGAGUUCGGGAGAGGAGAGUGGAAUUCCCAGUGUAGAGGUGAAAUUCGUAGAUAUUGGGAAGAACACCGGUGGCGAAGGCGGCUCUCUGGACCGAUACUGACGCUGAGGCGCGAAAGCGUGGGGAGCAAACGGG
RNAcentral lists this ribosomal RNA (253 nucleotides) under uncultured bacterium. Its description in RNAcentral is "partial 16S ribosomal RNA". It matches the Rfam family "Bacterial small subunit ribosomal RNA", at positions 524 to 776 of the family's 1533-position model. The record is from RNAcentral.